UAUUAUAUUUUAAGAAAUUAUUGAAUUAUUUUUUUAAUUUUUGUACGAUAUGAUAAAUUUUAUAGUAUUUUAUUAAAAGCCAGUAGUUUUGUUAAAGUGUAUUGGUUGACAAUAAUAGAAUAGGUAUUCUAUUUAAUUUGACAAUAUAGAGUUAAAAUACAUAUAAAAAUAAUAAAAAAAGUUAAAAAUAAUUUAAUAUAUAUAUUUUAAUAAACUUAUUUUAAAGACUCUAUUUUAAAAUAGAAUUGAUUGUUUGAAACAAUAAAUUAAUUAUUAGUAAUAUUUAAAGAUGUACGAGAAAGCGAUAGAUAAUUUAUCUAUAAUAUUUUUGAAAAAGAAAAAAAAAUAACUAUAAAAUACCAAAUAAAAUACAUUCUGAGCUUUCAGAUAAUACAAAAUUUUCAAAAAGGCUCACCAAUUUAAACCGAAUCACAAGCGAGAUUCGUGAACGAUACCUCUGCAUGCUUUAAGUGAAUUAAUUGCGUAUUUUUAAUCGUUCGAAUUUUAAGAUUAAUAAUUAGCAUCAACAAACCAAAGUAUAGUCAU
This 546-nucleotide long non-coding RNA is filed under the name Ananas comosus (pineapple). RNAcentral describes it as "long non-coding RNA (ACOM_LNC019215)". The record is from RNAcentral. Lineage: Eukaryota; Viridiplantae; Streptophyta; Magnoliopsida; Poales; Bromeliaceae.